RNAcentral lists this small nuclear RNA (179 nucleotides) under Neotoma lepida (desert woodrat). Its description in RNAcentral is "U2 spliceosomal RNA". It matches the Rfam family "U2 spliceosomal RNA". From Rfam's summary of the family: U2 is a small nuclear RNA (snRNA) component of the spliceosome (involved in pre-mRNA splicing). Complementary binding between U2 snRNA (in an area lying towards the 5' end but 3' to hairpin I) and the branchpoint sequence (BPS) of the intron results the bulging out of an unpaired adenosine, on the BPS, which initiates a nucleophilic attack at the intronic 5' splice site, thus starting the first of two transesterification reactions that mediate splicing. Lineage: Eukaryota; Metazoa; Chordata; Mammalia; Rodentia; Cricetidae. The record is from Rfam by way of RNAcentral.
AUUGCUUCUUAGGCUUUUGGCCAAGAUCAGGUGUAGCAUUUGUUCUUAUCAGUUUGCUCUCUGAUGUAUUCUCUCUCCUAGAAUAAUAUAUAAGUUUUUGGAGUAAGUAGGUUGAAUAGGAACAUGCUAUACAUUCAUUACAUGUAUAGACCUGGUAUUGCAAGAAUAGUACACUGUGU